GACGAACGCUGGCGGCGUGCUUAACACAUGCAAGUCGAACGGAAAGGCCCUGCUUUUGUGGGGUGCUCGAGUGGCGAACGGGUGAGUAACACGUGAGUAACCUGCCCUUGACUUUGGGAUAACUUCAGGAAACUGGGGCUAAUACCGGAUAGGAGCUCCUGCUGCAUGGUGGGGUUGGAAAGUUUCGGCGGUUGGGGAUGGACUCGCGGCUUAUCAGCUUGUUGGUGGGGUAGUGGCUUACCAAGGCUUUGACGGGUAGCCGGCCUGAGAGGGUGACCGGCCACAUUGGGACUGAGAUACGGCCCAGACUCCUACGGGAGGCAGCAGUGGGGAAUAUUGCACAAUGGGCGGAAGCCUGAUGCAGCAACGCCGCGUGCGGGAUGACGGCCUUCGGGUUGUAAACCGCUUUCGCCUGUGACGAAGCGUGAGUGACGGUAAUGGGUAAAGAAGCACCAGCUAACUACGUG
Molecule: ribosomal RNA, 467 nt
Filed under: uncultured bacterium
Lineage: Bacteria
Description: partial 16S ribosomal RNA
Rfam family: Bacterial small subunit ribosomal RNA
Source: RNAcentral